UAAAGUCAGUUACUACUUAACUUAUACAUGCAAGUUUCCGCACCCCUGUGAGAACGCCCCCCCCCCCUAAUCGGAGAAAGGAGCUGGUAUCAGGCACAAUAAUUAGCCCAAGACACCUAGCCAUGCCACACCCACAAGGGAAUCAGCAGUAAUUAACAUUGAACAUAAGCGUCAGCUUGAUUCAGUUAAAGUAAACAAGGGCAGGCAAAUAUGGUGCCAGCCGCCGCGGUUACACCAUGUGGCCCAAAUUGACCCCCCCCCAUCCGGCGUAAAGAGUGAUUAAAGUAACACCACACUGUAGUCAAACUAGAAUAGAGUUGUGAUAAGCUUAUAUCUAGGAAGCCCAAAAACGAAAGUUACUACACUCCAAACAACU
Molecule: ribosomal RNA, 376 nt
Filed under: Boana fasciata (Gunther's banded treefrog)
Lineage: Eukaryota; Metazoa; Chordata; Amphibia; Anura; Hylidae
Description: Hypsiboas fasciatus (Gunther's banded treefrog) partial 12S ribosomal RNA
Source: RNAcentral